CGAAAACUUUACAAUGCGGGAAACCGCGAUAAGGGGACACUGAGUGCCAGCAUAUUAUGUUGGCUGUCCACAUGUUUAAAAAGCAUGUGUUAGCAAGGGCUGGGCAAGACCGGUGCCAGCCGCCGCGGUAACACCGGCAGCCCGAGUGGUGAUCACUAUUAUUGGGUCUAAAGGGUCCGUAGCCGGUUUGAUCAGUCUUUUGGGAAAUCUGACAGCUUAACUGUUAGGCUUCCAAAGGAUACUGUCAGACUUGGGACCGGGAGAGGUAAGAGGUACUACAGGGGUAGGAGUGAAAUCUUGUAAUCCCUGUGGGACCACCAGUGGCGAAGGCGUCUUACCACGAACGGGUCCMCGGUGAGGGACGAAAGCUGGGGGCACGAACCGGAUUAGAUACCCGGGUAGUCCCAGCCGUAAACGAUGCUCGCUAGGUGUCAGGAAUGGUGCGACCGUUUCUGGUGCCGUAGGGAAGCCGUGAAGCGAGCCACC
RNAcentral lists this ribosomal RNA (486 nucleotides) under uncultured archaeon. Its description in RNAcentral is "bacterial SSU rRNA". It matches the Rfam family "Archaeal small subunit ribosomal RNA", at positions 342 to 828 of the family's 1478-position model. The record is from RNAcentral.